AAUUAACAAGUUCAGGCACAAACUGAAAGAAUGCUUCAUCUAGCGAUUGCAUGUUUCCCUUCUCGAUGCUAGCGGCCGUCAACACCGAAGACCAGCAAGGUAAAUAAACACCAACCAUCGAUCUUGGCAAACCCAGGGGGUAGAAUCUUGGAAGUACAUUGAACUGAGUGUCUUAUUCUUUUUGUGGAUUUGAUUUUGGCCAGAUGGACAGGACGUCGGUCCCGGGGGACACGAUCGACUACGUGAAGGAGCUGUUGGAGAGGAUACAACGGCUGCAGUUGGAGUUAUAGGAGUCACGCUGCUGUGGGUAUGGCUGCCGGGUGUGUUCCAGCAGCAGAAUCCCAACGAGAUGCUGGCCAGGAAAAGCUCCAAGGUGAGGAAUUGAAGCCACCCACUGCCUCCAGAGGAGAGCCGCUUCAUUUUUUCUAUAACUUGAAAAAUAGUGAGAGCAAGAUACUUUGAGUAUCAUUUUCUGCGAGGAAACAAUGAGUAGCAAUUUGAUUAGUUUGGUAGGUGUAACACACAUUCACGCAAUUCUCAGGCAAAAAAACUGCGGUUAGCUCGCAGACUCUUGUUUGCUAAAAGUUUAGAAUGAAAGACCGGCGAGUUGAGUUGGUUGUUUCAACAAAGCAUGGUUAAUUGAUUUGAGAGUGUGUGAAAUGAAUUUGAAAGGCAUUUUGGACAAACAUCCUGGUGAUGGUGUUGUGUGUGUGCUGGUACUGUUUUGUGCUACGUGCUACUACUUCCAUGCCGCUAUGUGAGGGAUUCAGAGAUUCAGAUAUGAGAGAGGCUACUGCUGGGUUAUGGAUUACUACAAAUUGUUUGCUGCUCUGAGUUGUAUGUUAUUGCUGCUCUGAUUUGUGUGUUGCUGCUUGGGUGAAGAAGGACAGUGUUGCUGCAAUAUAUGGAACAAAGUAAUAGAGAUAAUGAUGCUGCUACUAAUAGGUUGUUGCUAUUUUUACCUUUUGCAGUUGCUAAUUCUGCUCUGGGUUAUGUAGUUUGUAUUAGCUAUAUCUUUACCAAGUACAAAUUAUUUUGGAAGCAUGGUUGAUUUGUUCCUUCUUUUGUGUUAUUUUGUGGUCCCUUGUGCAUUGAUAUGACUUCGUGUUUUGAUGCAUUCUUCCAUCCUGUAGGCUAUUAGACAUGCUCAUUUGAAGAUUGAGUUAUCAAUAUCAAUUAUGGUUACCUAUCGGCGUCUAAUCAGGUCUGCAAGGUAGUGUUAUUUCUCUUCUAUUUUUUUGAUUCUUUAUAUGGCAGAAAAUGGUAUGGUUAGCUUAUAUCAUAAAUCCCAUAAGAAGGACUACAUGAUAUGAUAUCAUAUGAUUCUUAUAUCAGCUCUAUUGUGUUUUCCAUUAUUUUUCUAAUGUAGAAAGCUAUUGUUGUGCACAAAUGUUGGUACAGUAGACAUUCUAUCGGGUGUGUGCAUAUGUGUUCCCUUAGUUGCAGUGAGUAUAUAUCUGAACUAUCAUUCCGUUUUACUGCUGGAAAUAUCGGUCCCACUCCACAUAAUUCGUCUAAGCCUAAUGUAUUUUUCCUAAUAUUUAUUGUAGUAUUAACCCAUGAACCGUGAGAAGGGUAUAUUUCAUCUUUACAAGUUCCAUCAGUAUUAGUUCUCCAUUUUACAUCAAAAAAGUGUAAGCGUACAGACAGAAUACAUCAUCCAUAUGCAUCAUUUAUCCAUUUGUUUUCUUUUAAG
Molecule: long non-coding RNA, 1696 nt
Filed under: Triticum aestivum (bread wheat)
Lineage: Eukaryota; Viridiplantae; Streptophyta; Magnoliopsida; Poales; Poaceae
Description: long non-coding RNA (TAES_LNC020167)
Source: RNAcentral